Salvia miltiorrhiza (redroot sage) is the source of this 1086-nucleotide long non-coding RNA. RefSeq lists it as uncharacterized. The transcript is spliced from 2 exons. NCBI's taxonomy places the organism in Eukaryota, Viridiplantae, Streptophyta, Magnoliopsida, Lamiales, Lamiaceae. The record is from RefSeq and is a predicted model, not a curated record.
AAUUAAUCGAUUCAAGAAUGCUUUAUAAUAUGCUCUUAGCUUUCGAAAUUGAAUUUUUGGGAAUUUUUCCCCAACAAAAAAUAUUUUUCCAUUUUUACAAAAAGUUUUAAAAUGUGUUUGCUAAGGUGCUUUUGAACUUGAUUAAUUAUUUUAUGAGAUAAUUUAGAAUUAAUUGAUGAUGCUUUGUGUGUGCUUAUAUAUGUUUAUGUAUGUUGGUGUAGUCUAGUUUUAUAUGAGUGAUAAGUCGAGAGUAGGAUUUUUGUUUACUUAGGAAGUCUAGUUGAUAUGAGAAUGAUAUAAGUUGGAGCGAAGUGAUGAGAAGCGAUAGAAUAAUACUAAGAUAAGAGUAGUAUUGUUUGUGAGGAAGUCUUCUGACUUAUUUUAUCUUACCUCAUGGACCAUCUAUGUCGACCAUGAUAUUCGAAGAAACGAGCAGAGGACGAAAAUCAGUUACGACAAGUAUCGAGGAAAGUAAGCUAAAGACUUCAGGUGGGCAUUAUUUUAAUACCCCCUAUAUACAGGCUUUCUUAAAUGAUAUGAUACUUAUGAGUAUGAUUGAGUUAAAAUUUUGAUUAAUGUUGUUGACUUGCCAUGCCUUUAUUAUUAUAUGUUGUAUGUUGCCUCGGCAAAUGAUAUUUGUGAUGAUGAUGAUACGAUAUCGGCCCUACAUAUCAGUUGGGUUAUUGUGUACACGGAUGUUGACCGUGAGCCGUCUUUCAGUCGGCCGGUCAUGGUGUUGAGAAGAAGGCCAACUUCUCUUCACCCGAUGUUUAUUAUUGUUUUGCCGCAUUAAGGAUAAGCGAGGAAGCAGAAUGGUCUGGUGCUGGCGAGGAUUUUUUUCAGAUGUUUAUGUUGUACCGUAUUUCAAUUACAUACGGUAGCUUUUUGAUGUCGAAGUUUAUAUUUUGGACUUAGUCAAGAAGUAUACUCUCGGCUAUAUGUCUUCAUACAUAUAGUCUGUUCACGUUUUGUUGCGAGACUCUGUAAAUUAUGAACCUUUGUGAAUAUUUAACUAUGUCCGCUUUGUAAACUUUGUCGAGAAUCCCUGUACUUUUGAAUUUACAAAGCCGAUAAUAUUUGUGUCUU